UUAGGGUUUAGAGUUAAAAGGUGGGGUUUAGGAUUUAGGGUUUAGAGUUUAGGAUUUAGGGUUUAGAUUUUAGGGUUUAGGGUUUAGGGUUUAGGGUUUAGAGUUUAGGGUUUAUGGUUUAGGGUUUAGAGUUUAGGGUUUAGGGUUUACAGUUGAGAAAUGAGGUUUUGGGGAUAAGAUUUCAAAUUUUGAAAAAUAAAAAAAUUAAAAUUUUCAAAGGAUAAACUUAGAAAUGUGUUAUUUUGGUCAUUUUAGUUUUUGAGUGAUAUUUUUGUGAUAUAAACUUAGAAAU
This 292-nucleotide long non-coding RNA is filed under the name Brassica napus (rape). Its description in RNAcentral is "long non-coding RNA (BNAP_LNC010422)". The record is from RNAcentral. Lineage: Eukaryota; Viridiplantae; Streptophyta; Magnoliopsida; Brassicales; Brassicaceae.